This 259-nucleotide ribosomal RNA is filed under the name uncultured soil bacterium. RNAcentral describes it as "partial 16S ribosomal RNA". It matches the Rfam family "Bacterial small subunit ribosomal RNA", at positions 339 to 615 of the family's 1533-position model. The record is from RNAcentral.
CUACGGGAGGCAGCAGUGGGGAAUAUUGGACAAUGGGCGAAAGCCUGAUCCAGCAAUGCCGCGUGAGUGAUGAAGGCCUUAGGGUUGUAAAGCUCUUUUACCCGGGAUGAUAAUGACAGUACCGGGAGAAUAAGCCCCGGCUAACUCCGUGCCAGCAGCCGCGGUAAUACGGAGGGGGCUAGCGUUGUUCGGAAUUACUGGGCGUAAAGCGCACGUAGGCGGCUUUGUAAGUUAGAGGUGAAAGCCCAGGGCUCAACCC